UACGUAGGGGGCAAGCGUUGUCCGGAUUUAUUGGGCGUAAAGAGCGUGUAGGCGGCUUGGUAGGUCCGCUGUGAAAACUCGAGGCUCAACCUCGAGAUGUCGGCGGAAACCACUUGGCUAGAGUCCGGAAGAGGAGAGUGGAAUUCCCGGUGUAGCGGUGAAAUGCGCAGAUAUCGGGAAGAACACCUAUGGCGAAGGCAGCUCUCUGGGGACGGUACUGACGCUGAGACGCGAAAGCGUGGG
RNAcentral lists this ribosomal RNA (243 nucleotides) under uncultured bacterium. Its description in RNAcentral is "partial 16S ribosomal RNA". It matches the Rfam family "Bacterial small subunit ribosomal RNA", at positions 524 to 765 of the family's 1533-position model. The record is from RNAcentral.